Molecule: long non-coding RNA, 218 nt
Organism: Brassica napus (rape)
Lineage: Eukaryota; Viridiplantae; Streptophyta; Magnoliopsida; Brassicales; Brassicaceae
Exons: 3
Source: RefSeq, a predicted model, not a curated record
UCCAUUCUCUGUACUUGGAACUUUUGUGGCUUCCAUUGUUACUGGCGUGCUAGUGUACCUUGGCGGCGUGAUGUUUCUCAUGUACAGACUUCCAUUCGUUGAGUGUCUCAUGUUUGGCUCUCUUAUCUCAGCUACUGAUCCUGUCACUGUCUUGUCUAUAUUCCAGGAACUUGGAUCGGAUGUAAUUUGUAUGCCCUGGUGUUUGGAGAAUCUGUUUU